UGGGAUUAGAUACCCCACUAUGCUCAGCCGUAAACUUUAAAUUACACCAAAAUCGCCGGGGAACUACGAGCAAAGCUUAAAACCCAAAGGACUUGACGGUACCCCACAUCCACCUAGAGGAGCCUGUCCUAUAAUCGAUACCCCCCGCUUAACCUCACCACUUUUAGCCAAAUCAGCCUGUAUACCUCCGUCGUCAGCUUACCACGUGAGCGCAACUCAGUGAGCCCAAUGCCCACACGCCAAUACGUCAGGUCAAGGUGCAGCAAAUGAAGUGGAAAGAGAUGGGCUACACUCUCUAACAUAGAAAACACAGAAGACUACCUAUGAAACCUAGUCUAAAGGCGGAUUUAGAAGUAAAAAGAAAGCACGAGCGUUCUUUUUAACACGGCACCGGGGUGUGUACACACCGCCCC
Molecule: ribosomal RNA, 413 nt
Filed under: Hyalinobatrachium orientale (eastern glass frog)
Lineage: Eukaryota; Metazoa; Chordata; Amphibia; Anura; Centrolenidae
Description: partial 12S ribosomal RNA
Rfam family: Bacterial small subunit ribosomal RNA
Source: RNAcentral